UCCUUCAUCUGCUUGGCAAUCACGGCAUGAACCGGGCCGCCAGUGGUACCUCCUCCCCCAACAUCCCGAUUGGCCGAUUCCUCCUGCACUCCAUCAGCCGGCAAGCACCUGGGGUCUCCCGUGUCCAUGUUCUCCCCUUCUCCCGGACAUGACAAGCUGCCCAUUGGAGCCCCCGCCGGGACCCCGCCGCCGGCAGCCGAUGUAGAGGCCGAAAUCGAGUUCCCCGG
This 227-nucleotide long non-coding RNA is filed under the name Phoenix dactylifera (date palm). RNAcentral describes it as "long non-coding RNA (PDAC_LNC011990)". The record is from RNAcentral. Lineage: Eukaryota; Viridiplantae; Streptophyta; Magnoliopsida; Arecales; Arecaceae.